This 445-nucleotide ribosomal RNA is filed under the name uncultured bacterium. Its description in RNAcentral is "partial 16S ribosomal RNA". It matches the Rfam family "Bacterial small subunit ribosomal RNA", at positions 330 to 792 of the family's 1533-position model. The record is from RNAcentral.
UCCAGACUCCUACGGGAGGCAGCAGUGGGGAAUAUUGCACAAUGGGGGGAACCCUGAUGCAGCGACGCCGCGUGGGUGAAGGAGCACCUCGGUGCGUAAAGCCCUAUCGGCAGGGAAGAAACAGACGGUACCUGACUAAGAAGCCCCGGCUAACUACGUGCCAGCAGCCGCGGUAAUACGUAGGGGGCAAGCGUUAUCCGGAUUCACUGGGUGUAAAGGGAGCGUAGACGGCGACGCAAGUCUGGAGUGAAAGCCCGGGGCUCAACCCCGGGCAUGCAUUGGAAACUGGCGGGCUGGAGUGCCGGAGAGGUAAGCGGAAUUCCUAGUGUAGCGGUGAAAUGCGUAGAUAUUAGGAGGAACACCAGUGGCGAAGGCGGCUUACUGGACGGCAACUGACGCUGAGGCUCGAAAGCGUGGGGAGCAAACAGGAUUAGAUACCCUCGUA